UUGAAAGGGAAACGAUUGAAGUCAGUCAUGCUGGUGGGAAUCAAACUUAGGGGAAACUCUAGGUGCACUUCUUCGCUUGGCAGGUUAAACGUAGGUUAACGUAGAUCUUGAAUGCCAUAAAAUAAUUGGGGGAAGGUAGCUCCUUCGGGAGUGUUAUAGCCCUUGAUAGAUGUGAUGUUUGGGGUCGAGGAUUGCAACGGAUACCCUUUGGGGCUAGCCGCCUGAUCUCUAAUCGGUGUUGGGUUACGGAUAGCAUGCUGACCGUGAUCUAAUUACUGGUUAAAAGGUUAGAGUAUGCAUAAAUUCGUUAAGGAUGUUGACGUA
Molecule: ribosomal RNA, 324 nt
Filed under: uncultured Glomeromycotina
Lineage: Eukaryota; Fungi; Glomeromycota
Description: LSU rRNA
Source: RNAcentral